RNAcentral lists this unclassified non-coding RNA (557 nucleotides) under Hevea brasiliensis (rubber tree). Lineage: Eukaryota; Viridiplantae; Streptophyta; Magnoliopsida; Malpighiales; Euphorbiaceae. The record is from RNAcentral.
AGUGAUCAUAGUUUCCAUUGCGAGAAAUAAAGGUUGGAAUCAAACCCAGGCUGCAAUGGAAAAACUAGGAAAACCAAAAGCUAAUCGCUUGGUGUUUUUGACGUCCCCAUUUCAGGGCCACAUAAACCCAAUGCUACAACUAGCCACAAUCCUGCACUCAAAAGGCUUCUCCAUCACCAUCGUGCAUCCCCAGUUCAACUCUCCUAAUCCUUCAAAUCAUCCUCAAUUCACCUUCAAACCCAUAACCGAUAACUUAUCCGAAAGCAAAGUCCUGCAAGGAGAUAUCUUGGGUACCGUUAAGGCUCUUAACAAGAAUUGUCAAGUGCCCUUUGAGCUAUACAUGAAGCAAAUGACAGAGAAAGAGGAUUCAGAUGAUCGGAUUUCAUGUAUUGUUUAUGAUGGGCUUAUGUACUUUGCUCAUACUGUUGCUAAUAAUCUGAAGCUGCCGGGGAUUAUUGUUCGGACUAGUGCUGCUGCUGGCAUAUUCAAUUUUACCGUGUUUCCUCAUCCACACCAACAAGGCUAUAUUUCUCUUCUAGAUUCCAUGGCUGAAGAAU